GCCCUAGUAGCUCAGUUGGCCAGAGCAGCGCUCUUGUAAAGCGAAGGUCCGCGGUUCGAAUCCGUGCUGGGGCAC
RNAcentral lists this transfer RNA (75 nucleotides) under Sinisalibacter lacisalsi. RNAcentral describes it as "tRNA-Thr". It matches the Rfam family "tRNA". From Rfam's summary of the family: Transfer RNA (tRNA) molecules are approximately 80 nucleotides in length. Their secondary structure includes four short double-helical elements and three loops (D, anti-codon, and T loops). Further hydrogen bonds mediate the characteristic L-shaped molecular structure. tRNAs have two regions of fundamental functional importance: the anti-codon, which is responsible for specific mRNA codon recognition, and the 3' end, to which the tRNAs corresponding amino acid is attached (by aminoacyl-tRNA synthetases). tRNAs cope with the degeneracy of the genetic code in two manners: having more than one tRNA (with a specific anti-codon) for a particular amino acid; and 'wobble' base-pairing, i.e. permitting non-standard base-pairing at the 3rd anti-codon position. Lineage: Bacteria; Pseudomonadati; Pseudomonadota; Alphaproteobacteria; Rhodobacterales; Roseobacteraceae. The record is from RNAcentral.